GGCGGACGGGUGAGUAAUACUUAGGAAUCUGCCCAGUAGUGGGGGACAACUCGAGGAAACUCGAGCUAAUACCGCAUACGCCCUACGGGGGAAAGCGGGGGAUCUUCGGACCUCGCGCUAUUGGAUGAGCCUAAGUCGGAUUAGCUUGUAGGUAGGGUAAUGGCCUACCUAGGCGACGAUCCGUAGCUGGUCUGAGAGGACGAUCAGCCACACUGGGACUGAGACACGGCCCAGACUCCUACGGGAGGCAGCAGUGGGGAAUAUUGGACAAUGGGCGCAAGCCUGAUCCAGCAAUGCCGCGUGUGUG
RNAcentral lists this ribosomal RNA (307 nucleotides) under uncultured Ectothiorhodospiraceae bacterium. RNAcentral describes it as "bacterial SSU rRNA". It matches the Rfam family "Bacterial small subunit ribosomal RNA", at positions 97 to 407 of the family's 1533-position model. Lineage: Bacteria; Pseudomonadati; Pseudomonadota; Gammaproteobacteria; Chromatiales; Ectothiorhodospiraceae. The record is from RNAcentral.